RNAcentral lists this transfer RNA (73 nucleotides) under Camelus bactrianus (Bactrian camel). It matches the Rfam family "tRNA". From Rfam's summary of the family: Transfer RNA (tRNA) molecules are approximately 80 nucleotides in length. Their secondary structure includes four short double-helical elements and three loops (D, anti-codon, and T loops). Further hydrogen bonds mediate the characteristic L-shaped molecular structure. tRNAs have two regions of fundamental functional importance: the anti-codon, which is responsible for specific mRNA codon recognition, and the 3' end, to which the tRNAs corresponding amino acid is attached (by aminoacyl-tRNA synthetases). tRNAs cope with the degeneracy of the genetic code in two manners: having more than one tRNA (with a specific anti-codon) for a particular amino acid; and 'wobble' base-pairing, i.e. permitting non-standard base-pairing at the 3rd anti-codon position. The record is from Rfam by way of RNAcentral. Lineage: Eukaryota; Metazoa; Chordata; Mammalia; Artiodactyla; Camelidae. RNAcentral also lists the same sequence under 1 other name.
GAGGGUGUAGCUCAAGUGGCAGAGCACAUGCUUAGCUUGCAUGAGGUCCUGGGUUCAAUCCCCAGUACCUCCU